ACCUGGUUGGCGCAGUGGUCAGCGCGUUGCGGAAAGGUAACCCUGGAUCGGGGAUUCUGCAUUAGGCACAGGUCUUCCACCUCUUGUAGAGGCAAGCGAGCUAAGGCGCCCCGCGAAGGUCCCCCCGGUUUGAAUCCGGGACCGGGUA
Molecule: non-coding RNA, 148 nt
Organism: Cercophora scortea
Lineage: Eukaryota; Fungi; Ascomycota; Sordariomycetes; Sordariales; Lasiosphaeriaceae
Source: the annotation of a GenBank genome assembly